CUCCUUCUCCUUUCUACAGGCUAUAGCCGCUCAACGGAAGUCUCUAGAAGUCGAGUAAUAUCCAAUUUUCCCUCCAUUGCUUUCUCUUCUCUCAUUGUUGGAUAAUCUAAAUCCUCACCAUUCACUAUCCCUUCUCUCGGCCCAAGCUUCAACAAUGGCCAGCGAGUUGGCUGAGAAGGCAAAAGAAGCAAUCAUCGAUGAUGAUCUUAAAUUGGCCUUAGAUUUAUAUUCCAGAGCCAUCGAAUUGGACUCCACCAACGCCGAUUACUUCGCCGACCGAGCUCAGGCCAAUAUCAAACUCAAUAACUUCACUGAGGCUGUUGCUGAUGCAAACAAAGCAAUUGAGUUGGCUUCUUCGAUUCCCAAGGCAUAUUUGCGUAAAGGUGUUGCCUGUAUGAAGCUUGAAGAAUAUCAUACUGCCAAGAGAGCCCUUGAAAUUGGUGCAUCUUUGGCUCAAGAUGAUUCCAGAUUUACCAAUUUGAUCAAAGAAUGUGAUCUUCGAAUUGCAGAGGACUGUUAUGAUCAAAGGAAGUCCUUGGCACCAAAUGUUCAGCCAAGUGCUACACCUGCAUCUGUUGGUUCCUGUCAGAAGGAAACAAUCUCCUCCGGAAAACCAAAAUACAGACAUGAAUACUACCAGAAGCCAGAGGAAGUGAUUUUAACAAUUUUUGCAAAGGGCAUACCAGCAGAGAAUGUUACAGUUGAUUUUGGUGAACAAAUUCUUAGUGUUAAUGUCUCUGGUGAAGACACAUAUCAUUUUCAACCUCGAUUGUUUGGAAAAGUAUUACCUGAUAGGAGCAAGUAUCAAGUAUUGUCAACCAAGAUUGAAAUCCGUUUUGUGAAAGCUGAAGUUAUUAACUGGACUUCUCUUGAAUAUUGCAAGGAAAUUACAGUACCGCAGAAAAUAAAUGUGCCAUCAGUUGGAUCUCAAAGGCCUUCAUAUCCAUCAUCAAAAUCAAGAGCAAAGGAUUGGGAUAAGUUGGAAGCUGAAGUGAAGAAGGAGGUGUUGAUGCUAUGAUGGUCUGGAUUUCAGGAAAAAAGAUGAGAAGCUAGAUGGUGAUGCAGCUUUGAACAAGUUUUUCAGGGAGAUUUACCAGAGUGCAGACGAGGACACGAGGAGGGCAAUGACCAAAUCUUUUGUGGAGUCAAGUGGGACAGUGCUGUCAACCGACUGGAAAGAAGUGGGUUCAAAGAAGGUAGAAGGUAGUGCUCCAGAGGAUAUGGAAAUGAAAAAAUGGGAGUAUUGACCAAGUAUACCAGUCCGAUAAUGGAAUGACUGCAAUGUCCGAGUUUUUUUAGCUCUUCUAGAGUUGCUCUUCCUUUUCUCCAACAGUGUGUUUAUCUUCUAUCCUGCUGUAAAUCCAUUAUGUAGUUGCGAUUUUUGCGUUUUACUGUCAGGGUAGGAAAUGAACAAACGGGAAUAUUCACCAAAUACCAAGUACACCAGUCUGAUUUCUCUUCUA
Molecule: RNA transcript, 1463 nt
Organism: Manihot esculenta (cassava)
Lineage: Eukaryota; Viridiplantae; Streptophyta; Magnoliopsida; Malpighiales; Euphorbiaceae
Gene name: protein SGT1 homolog B
Exons: 10
Source: RefSeq, a predicted model, not a curated record